GGAUACCCGCUGAACUUAAGCAUAUCAAUAAGCGGAGGAAAAGAAACCAACAGGGAUUGCCCUAGUAACGGCGAGUGAAGCGGCAACAGCUCAAAUUUGAAAGCUAGCCUUCGGGUUCGCAUUGUAAUUUGUAGAGGAUGCUUUGGGUAAAACGCCAGUCUAAGUUCCUUGGAACAGGACGUCAUAGAGGGUGAGAAUCCCGUAUGUGACUGGAAAUGUUAACCUAUGUAAAGCUCCUUCGACGAGUCGAGUUGUUUGGGAAUGCAGCUCUAAAUGGGAGGUAAAUUUCUUCUAAAGCUAAAUAUUGGCGAGAGACCGAUAGCGCACAAGUAGAGUGAUCGAAAGAUGAAAAGCACUUUGGAAAGAGAGUUAAAAAGCACGUGAAAUUGUUGAAAGGGAAGCGCUUGCAAUCAGACUUGUUUAAACUGUUCGGCCGGUCUUCUGACCGGUUUACUCAGUUUGGACAGGCCAGCAUCAGUUUCGGCGGCCGGAUAAAGGCUCUGGGAAUGUGGCCUCCACUUCGGUGGAGGUGUUAUAGCCCAGUGUGUAAUACGGCCAGCCGGGACUGAGGUCCGCGCUCGGCUAGG
Molecule: ribosomal RNA, 587 nt
Filed under: Aureobasidium pullulans
Lineage: Eukaryota; Fungi; Ascomycota; Dothideomycetes; Dothideales; Saccotheciaceae
Description: partial large subunit ribosomal RNA
Rfam family: Eukaryotic large subunit ribosomal RNA
Source: RNAcentral